GUUAGACCUUUUGCUAAUGUAGUCUGAAGCUUGGUGGCCUUUGACAAACCCUUCCUGAUCAGAAGAAAUUAAAUGUACACAGUUCCAAAGGAAUAUGGUAUGAACAUUUAUUUUUUGCUGAUUUAGGUCAGUUAGUAUUUAAUUCAGGAAAUAGCUUUUGGAUAUACAUCCAGUGAACAAUAUUCACUAUAAUAUAUAAGAUGAUGGACUAAGCAGG
Molecule: non-coding RNA, 217 nt
Organism: Pelobates cultripes (western spadefoot toad)
Lineage: Eukaryota; Metazoa; Chordata; Amphibia; Anura; Pelobatidae
Source: the annotation of a GenBank genome assembly